Molecule: ribosomal RNA, 484 nt
Filed under: uncultured bacterium
Lineage: Bacteria
Description: partial 16S ribosomal RNA
Rfam family: Bacterial small subunit ribosomal RNA
Source: RNAcentral
AUUGAACGCUGGCGGCAGGCCUAACACAUGCAAGUCGAGCGGAUGAAGGGAGCUUGCUCCUGGAUUCAGCGGCGGACGGGUGAGUAAUGCCUAGGAAUCUGCCUGGUAGUGGGGGAUAACGUCCGGAAACGGGCGCUAAUACCGCAUACGUCCUGAGGGAGAAAGUGGGGGAUCUUCGGACCUCACGCUAUCAGAUGAGCCUAGGUCGGAUUAGCUAGUUGGUGGGGUAAAGGCCUACCAAGGCGACGAUCCGGAACUGGUCUGAGAGGAUGAUCAGUCACACUGGAACUGGGACACGGUCCAGACUCCUACGGGAGGCAGCAGUGGGGAAUAUUGGACAAUGGGCGAAAGCCUGAUCCAGCCAUGCCGCGUGUGUGAAGAAGGUCUUCCGAUUGUAAAGCACUUUAAGUUGGGAGGAAGGGCAGUAAGUUAAUACCUUGCUGUUUUGACGUUACCUACAGAAUAAGCACCGGCUAACUUCGUG